UUGACAAGGGGGAUAAUUCCAUCAGUCUGCCCUUUACGGCAGCCCAGCCGAUUUACAGCUGCAGGAAGAAAAAGCCCCCUACAGGAUCUUCUUGAGGUAAACCACAAAAGAUGGAUGAUUGAUGAAUCAUUGAAAUUAUGGCUGGUAUGAUUUCAAAAUUAUUGGCAUCAAUGGUUGGAUGACAAAUGCUCGAUGGUGAUGCUUCCACAGAUGGGACAACAUAGUCCCUCAAUGGUUUCAGUUCCUCAGCCAUAGGUGAUGGCUUUUCCAAUAUUUCGUCCUUCCUCUUCACCCGGUUGAAUCUGUUAAGCUUGUGAAGCAUUUGUUCGAUCUCUGGAUCUAGUAGUAUAAGCUUAAGACUCUGCGAACGUCUCCCAAAACUCAUGCACUAGGUAAAGUACCUGAAAACCAAACAAAAUCAAAUUAAAAAAAAUAAUAAUAAAAUAAAAAUAAAAAUAUGAAUCAAUCUAUAUUGAUAUUAAUAAAAAUUAAAACACUCCCCCGAC
This 506-nucleotide long non-coding RNA is filed under the name Prunus persica (peach). RNAcentral describes it as "long non-coding RNA (PPER_LNC007914)". The record is from RNAcentral. Lineage: Eukaryota; Viridiplantae; Streptophyta; Magnoliopsida; Rosales; Rosaceae.